UUUGUCGGCUGAAAAAUGAGAAAACCAAGACCGUACCAGUGGAAGGGUCUUUGGGUACGGCUGUUCUGUUAUUCCUCCUCUACAAUCGAGGUGUUUCUUCGACUAACAUGCACUAAAAAAAACAAAGAUCACAAUGGUCAGAGAAUCGAGGGGAACGGGAAACAGGAAAGGGGCCAUCGGGGAGGUUUUUAGGUUGUGGUUGCGGUGGCUUAGCCGAGCUCUGCUCGUAUUUUCUGGCUCACCAACUACUCUUUUAUCUCUGAUAUGGGUAUGGGGACAUUCAGAAUUCAAUUCCGAGUGGAAGGAAAUUUUUUUAACUUUUUCGGCAUCGACGGUGGCUUUGGUGCGGCCACAACAAUGUCUAUUCGGCGACUGAUCUUCCCUCUAGCCGCCAUCUUUCUUCUUCUCUGGUCAAGGUCGUCGACUAGGGUUUUGGGGCCGACUGAAUAGAGGUUUAAAUACCUCUCUUCCCCUAAUUCUGAUCUUCUAUUCGCGUCGACAUGGAGCGAGGAGGACCGUUUGAUUUGAUGUCUGUUUAGGCCGAUACAUGUGCAAAUCUGGACCGUCUAUUGCGAUAUAAAAAAAAAGAUAUGGGUCGUUCGUGCGCCUGAGAUGCGAUUUGGACUGUU
This 629-nucleotide long non-coding RNA is filed under the name Carica papaya (papaya). RNAcentral's name for it is "long non-coding RNA (CPAP_LNC005174)". The record is from RNAcentral. Lineage: Eukaryota; Viridiplantae; Streptophyta; Magnoliopsida; Brassicales; Caricaceae.